GAACCCUCAUCAUGCCUAAAGGCUAAAAGUACUCUCGCGCCUCCUCGCCCUAGGGUUUCAUUAGUUUUCAAUGUUGACGAUUCUUCACAUAUUAUUUAUUGUAAUUUGGAGGGCAAAAUAGAUUAUCUGUUGCAUCAGUUUACCCUCUCCUUCAUGAAUCAGAAAUGAACGCUGGAGGAGAUAAAACUGAUGCAGAAAUUCAAAGGUUGGCUUACCAGCCCAUUGCAUGUAUCUUUAUUUGCCUUGGCGUCAAAUGGACCUACCGACACUCUCUUAUCUUCGC
This 283-nucleotide long non-coding RNA is filed under the name Citrus x clementina. Its description in RNAcentral is "Citrus clementina (C. clementina) long non-coding RNA (CCLE_LNC003111)". Lineage: Eukaryota; Viridiplantae; Streptophyta; Magnoliopsida; Sapindales; Rutaceae. The record is from RNAcentral.